Molecule: ribosomal RNA, 460 nt
Filed under: uncultured bacterium
Lineage: Bacteria
Description: partial 16S ribosomal RNA
Rfam family: Bacterial small subunit ribosomal RNA
Source: RNAcentral
CCUACGGGUGGCAGCAGUGAGGAAUAUUGGUCAAUGGGCGGGAGCCUGAACCAGCCAAGUCGCGUGCGGGAAGACGGUCCUAUGGAUUGUAAACCUCUUUUGGCGGGGAGCAAUGCCGGGCACGCGUGCCCGGAGGGAGAGUACCCGCAGAAUAAGCAUCGGCUAACUCCGUGCAAGCAGCCGGGGUAAUCGGGAGGAUGCGAGCUUUAUCCGGAUUAUUUGGGUUAAAAGGGUGCGUAGGCGGAUUUUUAAGUCAGCGGUAAAAUGUGCGGGCUCAACCCGGGCCGGCCGUUGAGACUGGGGAUCUUGAGUGGGCGAGAAGUAUGCGGAAUGCGUGGUGUAGCGGUGAAAUGCAUAGAUAUCACGCAGAACUCCGAUUGCGAAGGCAGCAUACCGGCGCCCGACUGACGCUGAGGCACGAAAGCGUGGGGAUCGAACAGGAUUAGAUACCCUUGUAGUC